This 1243-nucleotide long non-coding RNA is filed under the name Salmo salar (Atlantic salmon). RNAcentral describes it as "lncRNA (ENSSSAG00000091586.1)". Lineage: Eukaryota; Metazoa; Chordata; Actinopteri; Salmoniformes; Salmonidae. The record is from RNAcentral.
CUGACCUUCACUUUUCUGACAUUCCUGUCCCUCCUCUUGUCCAUGUAAGUGCAUGUGCAGUUGCUGCAGGAGGGAUUUAUGGUCAACAAUGUGCAGACAGCAGCAGCCAGUGUGUUUCUAUUCCCAGUUUAACCAGUGUUCUGUCACUGGAAUGCCGCUCUCUUUCUGUUGACUUUCAUUGGCAUUCUUCACUCAGGUCACACAGGUUACACAGCUGAAGGCCUCUCUGUCUGUCUGUCUGUCUGUCUAUCUGUCUAUCUGUCUGUCUGUCUGUCUGAUUCUGCCCUUUCAGCCCAGUACACACACACAAGCACAAGCACACACACACACACUUACACACCUGGACCUGGCUGAACUCAUUGGAGAGGAGGCUGCGGAGCUGCUCGGUGGUGAGGGAUUCUCCAUCUGAGCUGUAGCUGAGGAACAGAGCUCUAGUCAUGGGCCUGCUGGAGCCCUGCGGAGUGGCUGGAGGGAGAGGGAGAUAGAAGAGGGAAGGGGGUGAGACACUUAUUGCUCUUAGGAAUGUCCAUCCUCCCAUCCAGCAAAGACAAAUACAUGAGGAGAGAAAUUGUGUUGACUAAGGAUACUAUUUUGACCACUUACUUUUCUCAGUUUGGGCCAUGGAGACAAGACAAGAAAGAGCCAGCACUGCCCCCAAGUGGUGGAGAAAUGUCAUUGUAGUAACCUGCAGAAGACAAUAAAAGACAUUCAAAAUGGGCCUGAAGUUGGGCAUGGAGUUGACUCUGAAACUUCAUUGUCAGAAAUGUGUGAUGAACAUGAAAGCCCAAGAUAGACUGAGAUCACACCACCCAAUAUUACUCACUCACCCAAUAGACACACAGGUACCAACAUACCUAAAAUAUUUGUAAAACAUCACAGAAGAUAUAUAGCUCUUUGACAGAGAGAAAUACUUUCGCUUGUUUCGCUGUUCCUCUUUUUCCUCCUCGUCUGUUUUACAGAUUAAAACCUGUUCGGUCACUUCAAAGCAAAGUGUUGCUUUCACCUGGCUGGUUUUCACCUGGCUAGUAUACACCUGGCUGGUGUUCACCUGGCUGGUGUUCACCUGGCUGGUAUUCACCUGGCUAGUAUUCACCUGACUGGUGUUCACCUGGCUGGUGUUCACCUGGCUAGUAUUCACCUGGCUGGUUUUCACCUGGCUGGUAUUCACCUGGCUAGUAUUCACCUGGCUGGUUUUCACCUGGCUAGUAUUCACCUGGCUGGUAUUCACCUGGCUGGUGUUCAC